RNAcentral lists this long non-coding RNA (663 nucleotides) under Cavia porcellus (domestic guinea pig). RNAcentral describes it as "lncRNA (ENSCPOG00000036095.1)". The record is from RNAcentral. Lineage: Eukaryota; Metazoa; Chordata; Mammalia; Rodentia; Caviidae.
CUCAAUCCAAGGGGGAGCAUCAUAGAUUGUAUCUAUCCAAGCCUGGAUAUAGACAAUCUGAUCGGGGUGAGCGGGGGGCCCAAAUACAUACUGGCGGACCGCUCGAGCUGUCUCCAUAUCAAAGGACCCAAAAGGGGGCCAGACUCCUUGGGUCCCCAGGGGCCCAAAUACAUACUGGCGGACCGCUCGAGCUGUCUCCAUAUCAAAGGACCCAAAAGGGGGCCAGACUCCUUGGGUCCCCAGGGGCCACUCCUGUGUGACAAAGGUUGUUAGUCUGGCUUUGCGAACCCUUUCCCCAUAUCUCCCACCUCGCCUCUGGAAUUCUUUAAAGUGGUCAAUGACAAGGCUAAGGGGAGUGCUGGGAACAGAUUCGUUCCGACCCAUAAUGGACUCGUUCUGACCCAUAGCUGGUGGUGUCGCUGGUUUUGCUGGAAAAAAACUUAAAAGGCAAAGUUAGGGUUAAACAGAAAAACUACAGAGACUAGGCAAACGGUCGGAAUCACCUUUGCCCACUCCGAAUUCCAGGAAGGAGCUCCUAAGAAAGAAGGCUCUGUUAGAGUUAGGUGACCAAAAAGGGGAACAAUUAGAACAAAUGAACACACAGACCGACACACAAGACGAGACAAGACAAGACAAGCUGCAGCAGAAUGGCCUUUGCUCAAA